This 725-nucleotide ribosomal RNA is filed under the name uncultured bacterium. RNAcentral describes it as "bacterial SSU rRNA". It matches the Rfam family "Bacterial small subunit ribosomal RNA", at positions 760 to 1501 of the family's 1533-position model. The record is from RNAcentral.
CAUGGUAGCGAAGAGGAUUAGAUACCCUCGUAGUCCAUGCCGUAAACGAUGUGUGUUAGACGUUGGAAAUUUAUUUUCAGUGUCGCAGCGAAAGCGAUAGACACACCGCCUGGGGAGUACGACCGCAAGGUUAAAACUCAAAUGAAUUGACGGGGACCCGCACAAGUAGUGGAGCAUGUGGUUUAAUUCGAAGAUACGCGCAGAACCUUACCAACACUUGACAUGUUCGUCGCGACUCUAAGAGAUUAGAGUUUUCGGUUCGGCCGGACGAAACACAGGUGCUGCAUGGCUGUCGUCAGCUCGUGUCGUGAGAUGUUGGGUUAAGUCCCGCAACGAGCGCAACCCUCACUUUUAGUUGCCAUCAUUAAGUUGGGCACUCUGAAAGAACUGCCAGUGAUAAGCUGGAGGAAGGUGGGGAUGACGUCAAGUCCUCAUGGCCCUUACGUGUUGGGCUACACACGUGCUACAAUGGUAUCUACAACAGGAAGCGAGACUGCGAAGUUAAGCAAAUCCUUAAAAGAUACCUCAGUUCGGAUUGCACUCUGCAACUCGAGUGCAUGAAGCUGGAAUUACUAGUAAUCGUGGAUCAGCGUGCCACGGUGAUGCGUUCCCGGGUCUUGUACACACCGCCCGUCACACCAUGGGAGUUGGUCCUACCUUAAGGCAAGGUUUAAACCCUUGACCACGGUAUAGUCAGCGACUGGGUGAAGUCGUAACAGGUAACC